RNAcentral lists this ribosomal RNA (497 nucleotides) under uncultured bacterium. RNAcentral's name for it is "partial 16S ribosomal RNA". It matches the Rfam family "Bacterial small subunit ribosomal RNA", at positions 28 to 507 of the family's 1533-position model. The record is from RNAcentral.
GAUGAACGCUGGCGGCGUGCCUAAUACAUGCAAGUCGAGCGAACAGACGAGGAGCUUGCUCCUCUGACGUUAGCGGCGGACGGGUGAGUAACACGUGGAUAACCUACCUAUAAGACUGGGAUAACUUCGGGAAACCGGAGCUAAUACCGGAUAACAUGUUGAACCGCAUGGUUCAACAGUGAAAGACGGUUUUGCUGUCACUUAUAGAUGGAUCCGCGUCGCAUUAGCUAGUUGGUAAGGUAACGGCUUACCAAGGCGACGAUGCGUAGCCGACAUGAGAGGGUGAUCGGCCACACUGGAACUGAGACACGGUACAGACUCCUACGGGAGGCAGCAGUAGGGAAUCGUCCGCAAUGGGCGAAAGCCUGACGGAGCAACGCCGCGUGAGUGAAGAAGGUCUUCGGAUCGUAAAACUCUGUUAUUAGGGAAGAACAAAUGUGUAAGUAACUAUGCGCGUCUUGACGGUACCUAAGCAGAGAGCCACGGCUAACUUCGUG